UACGUAGGGUGCAAGCGUUGUCCGGAAUCAUUGGGCGUAAAGCGCGCGUAGGCGGCCCGAUAAGUCCGCUGUAAAAGUCAACGGCUCAACUGUUGAAAGCCGGUGGAUACUGUCGGGCUAGAGUACGGAAGAGGCAAGUGGAAUUCCUGGUGUAGCGGUGAAAUGCGCAGAUAUCAGGAAGAACACCUAUGGCGAAGGCAGCACUCUGGGACGGUACUGACGCUGAGACGCGAAAGCGCGGGGAGCGAACAGG
This 253-nucleotide ribosomal RNA is filed under the name uncultured bacterium. RNAcentral's name for it is "partial 16S ribosomal RNA". It matches the Rfam family "Bacterial small subunit ribosomal RNA", at positions 524 to 776 of the family's 1533-position model. The record is from RNAcentral.